GACGAACGCUGGCGGCGUGCUUAACACAUGCAAGUCGAGCGGAAAGGCCCUUUCGGGGGUCCUCGAGCGGCGAACGGGUGAGUAACACGUGAGUAAUCUGCCCUUCACUUGGGGAUAACCUCCGGAAACGGUGGCUAAUACCCGAUACGACCAUUCCUCGCAUGAGGUGGGGGUGGAAAGUUUUUCGGUGGGGGAUGUGCUCGCGGCCUAUCAGCUUGUUGGUGGGGUAAUGGCCUACCAAGGCUUCGACGGGUAGCCGGCCUGGGAGGGUGACCGGCCACACUGGGACUGAGACACGGCCCAGACUCCUACGGGAGGCAGCAGUGGGGAAUAUUGGACAAUGGGCGGAAGCCUGAUCCAGCAACGCCGCGUGAGGGAUGACGGCCUUCGGGUUGUAAACCUCUUUCACCUGUGACGAAGCGAAAGUGACGGUAGCAGGAGAAGAAGCACCGGCCAACUACGUG
This 464-nucleotide ribosomal RNA is filed under the name uncultured bacterium. RNAcentral's name for it is "partial 16S ribosomal RNA". It matches the Rfam family "Bacterial small subunit ribosomal RNA", at positions 28 to 507 of the family's 1533-position model. The record is from RNAcentral.